RNAcentral lists this ribosomal RNA (253 nucleotides) under uncultured bacterium. RNAcentral's name for it is "partial 16S ribosomal RNA". It matches the Rfam family "Bacterial small subunit ribosomal RNA", at positions 524 to 776 of the family's 1533-position model. The record is from RNAcentral.
UACGUAGGGGGCAAGCGUUGUCCGGAAUCAUUGGGCGUAAAGCGCGUGUAGGCGGCCCGAUAAGUCCGCUGUGAAAGUCCAGGGCUCAACCCUGGAAUGCCGGUGGAUACUGUCGGGCUCGAGUCCGGAAGAGGCGAGUGGAAUUCCUGGUGUAGCGGUGAAAUGCGUAGAUAUCGGGAGGAACACCAGUGGCGAAGGCGACUACCUGGCCUGUUCUUGACGCUGAGGCGCGAAAGCUAGGGGAGCAAACGGA